AAUAGCUCAAAUUUGAAAUCUGGCUCUAGGGUCCGAGUUGUAAUUUGUAGAGGAUGUUUCGGGUGCGCCCGCAGUUUAAGUUCCUUGGAACAGGACGUCAUAGAGGGUGAGAAUCCCGUCUUGAACUGUACGGCAAGUCCAUGUGAAACUCCUUCGACGAGUCGAGUUGUUUGGGAAUGCAGCUCAAAAUGGGAGGUAAAUUUCUUCUAAAGCUAAAUAUUGGCCAGAGACCGAUAGCGCACAAGUAGAGUGAUCGAAAGAUGAAAAGCACUUUGAAAAGAGAGUUAAACAGUAUGUGAAAUUGUUAAAAGGGAAGCGUUUGCAACCAGACUUGUUUCUAACAGUUCUACCGCAGUUCUCUGUGGCUUAUUCUGUUAGUCCAGGCCAGCAUCAGUUUGGGUGGCUCGUUAAAGACUUUGGGAAUGUAUCUACUCCUUCGGGUGUAGACUUAUAGCCCAUUGUGUAAUAGGGUCUACCUGGACUGAGGUACGCGCAUUGCUCGGAUGCUGGCGUAAU
Molecule: ribosomal RNA, 516 nt
Filed under: Phaeomoniella sp. HBL2005a
Lineage: Eukaryota; Fungi; Ascomycota; Eurotiomycetes; Phaeomoniellales; Phaeomoniellaceae
Description: eukaryotic LSU rRNA
Rfam family: Eukaryotic large subunit ribosomal RNA
Source: RNAcentral